CGGAGUGUGCCAGCGUUACUCGGAAUCACUGGGCAUAAAGGGCGUGUCGGCGGGCUUUCAAGUCGGUUGUGAAAUCCCUCAGCUCAACUGAGGAACUGCAUCCGAUACUGUUUGUCUUGAGGACGAGAGGGGAGAGUGGAACUUCUGGUGGAGCGGUGAAAUGCGUAGAUAUCAGAAGGAACGCCGGUGGCGAAAGCGACUCUCUGGCUCGUAACUGACGCUGAAACGCGAAAGCUUGGGUAGCAAACGGG
RNAcentral lists this ribosomal RNA (251 nucleotides) under uncultured bacterium. RNAcentral describes it as "partial 16S ribosomal RNA". It matches the Rfam family "Bacterial small subunit ribosomal RNA", at positions 526 to 776 of the family's 1533-position model. The record is from RNAcentral.